This 32-nucleotide non-coding RNA is filed under the name unclassified sequences. The record is from Rfam.
CUAUGAUCUGUGAUAUGAUCAUGGCAAAGGAG